Molecule: long non-coding RNA, 2276 nt
Organism: Heterocephalus glaber (naked mole-rat)
Lineage: Eukaryota; Metazoa; Chordata; Mammalia; Rodentia; Bathyergidae
Source: Ensembl
GCCUUUGUUCCAUCUUGCAAAAUAUAUUAUAAAAAUGUUUUCUAUUUUUUUAAGAUUUAAGAAUCAUUUUGUCUUAAAUUGUGAAUGAUUUUAAAUGAGCUAUUUAGGUACUUAACCUUUUUCUGAAGAACUUUCAAGAUAAUUUAGAAAUUUUCCCCUCUUCGAAAAGGCUUCCCUUGUCCUGUGAUGAAUACUAUAAGUCAGCUACAAUUGUUUGCCACAUGAAACCUGUAGGUCUUUUUCAAUUACUUGUCUAUAGUCCAAAUUGAGCUUUGGCUCAGACUUAAGGCCAGGACCAGUUCAUGCAUUCUUCCUCUUCUUUUUCUUGCUCUUUUCUCAUCCUUGCUCACCCCACUCUUCUUACAGUUGUUUGGGAUAGAAAAAUCGUAAAGAGCCAGCCCACCUCGGAAGAUGGCAGGUCGCGAGAGACACUACAGGACACUAAGUAGACGAGGGAAGGAUGGAGCUCUCUAGUCCAAAAAGCAAAGAGAGCCCAGUUCUCGCUACAUGACAUAUUGAGAUGUUCUUUUAAAACUCCACUUUUAAGAUAGUGAUGUUCUGUUCUAAGCUGUUCUGUUUUAGUAAAGAUAGAUUUUAGAAAACAAGCGUGGGGAUUCUUUUCGAAGGUAAUAAUGAGAAGAAGAGAAAAGGUGAUUAUCUUUAAAGAGGUCUUUGUUGAAGCCUGUGGUAGCACAUUAUGUUCAUGAUUGCACAUGUGCACGUAAUCUAUUAUGAUCCAAUGCAAAUACAGCUCCAAAAAUAUUAAAUGUAUAUAUAUUUUUAAAUGCCUGAGGAAAUAUGGUUUUCUUAAUAAAUUGAAGAAUAUCAAUACUGCUAUUAAAAUAAUUAUUAGCCUCCUGCUGUGUGGUUGCAAAACAUCACAGAGUGACCUGUCCCGGAACUGCCAACUGCCUGCCUAUUUAGCCAAUGAAAAUGAACACAUUUCUAUAUGGGGGAGCAUCUGCUGUCCAGCGUUGGGAAUGCGAAGUGAGGAAGCUGGUGGUUACACUACCUCUGGGCUGUAUGAGAGUCUUGGCUAAAGUUGAGAUGUGUUCACAACUACCUGUCUUUGGGUUGGAGGUCAUGGGGAAAAAAAGCCCUAAAAAACAACAAACAACUCAAGGCAUCUUUGGUAAGCAAGACAAAGGAGAAAACUUGAGGAAUCAAAAUGCAACCUGAGUAUGAAACUCAAUGUACUGACCAAAGGUAGGUGCAGUUAGGUGGAAGCUAUUAGCAGACAGCUGAUCGUAACUGAGAAGAGGACAGAAAGACAGGCGUCUGCUCUUGGAGUGUUAUUUUUUCCAAAGAAAGACUUGGCAGAGGACAGAGGCAUGGCAUUUUUGCAUUGCACUUCCCAUUGGCUGUCCAUUUCCAGGACAGAGUGAAUUCGCCUGUUCUUAAUAGCAGGGCAGUUGUUCAGACAUCACCUCCAGUUAUUUGCAGUAAUUAGAACUUUGGAAGAUACCAGGGCAGAAGUGUUUCAAGUCAGGGAUGAAGAAGAUGUGAAACAGAAGCGUAAUCCACAUGUGGGAACUGGAUAAUGUAUGUUCCCGUGUUGUUCUCUUGAAAAGAAAGGGAGAGCUGUAAGCUUACUCUGGCCUACACCAGAAGAAGGUGAGAGUAACUUUACCAUGGACACAGUGCUUCGCCUUCGUUAGAGAAAAGGGUCCCAAAGGGUCCCUAAAUCCCCAACCUGAAUCCUGGUUUUACCCCUGGUUAUUUCUUCGAUACCUGAACUGCAGCAAAUCACUUUUUCUUUUUGUGCCUCAGGUUCCUCAACUAUAAAGUGGAAAAUAUAUUAAUAAUAUUAAUAUUAAUAUUAAUAAUAAUGGUAAUGUAGUACUUGUUUGUAAAGCACUUUGAGAGCCUUGGUUGAAAGGCACCAUAGGAGUGUCAAGUAUUAUGUGGCCAAGGGGAUUAUUUAAAUUUAGUUCCCAAGGGCCAAGAAAGGUUGGGGUCAUUUUUGUUAAAGAUGAGCUGUAAAUAUUAUAACUAGACAGCCUAUAGUGUUGACUAUUAAAAAGCAAAACUGUUACAAGGCUGAUAAAACCAUGGUUUAUUAAUGGCUACCAACAAGGCAAAUAUCACAAUAACAAAUACCAAAUUCCUUAGGAUGUACUAUUUGACAACAACAUUGAUAAUCUGGGGGGAGGGACAGGGGUGGGAAACAUCUCAAAAUGCCAAUGUAAAAUUAACUUACAGCAAUAUUCACCAGCAGAAAAUGUCUUUCAUAUGGAAUGAUUUCAUGUUGCUAAGAAAAAGAAUUCAAUUUGUAG